GUGCUAUAUGAAAGGAGAGAAGGUUAGCACUCCCCCAGACAAGGAUGGAAGAGGUCCUCAGGCCUGACAACACGCAUAUGGUUAAGUCAGGACCCCUGGUGGCA
Molecule: non-coding RNA, 104 nt
Filed under: Cervus hanglu yarkandensis (Yarkand deer)
Lineage: Eukaryota; Metazoa; Chordata; Mammalia; Artiodactyla; Cervidae
Source: RNAcentral